Neopelma chrysocephalum (saffron-crested tyrant-manakin) is the source of this 306-nucleotide long non-coding RNA. RefSeq lists it as uncharacterized. The transcript is spliced from 2 exons. The record is from RefSeq and is a predicted model, not a curated record. Lineage: Eukaryota; Metazoa; Chordata; Aves; Passeriformes; Pipridae.
CACCUCUGUCAGUAGGUGCCUGGAUGCUGCUGUCAGUCAGAAGGAUCUGCACUGAAUUCACUGGACCUACAUCCAUAAAAAAUGCAAGCAAGAAAACCUUACAGGUCAAGUCAUGUCCUACAGGUCACAAAGUGGACUUGCUGUAACAGCUGAAACUCAGAACUUUUGAUGCCAAAUAAACACCACAAUAACAAGAAGGUUCCUUUCUAGGAGGACUGAACGAGCAGUGUUGAACAAUAUUGUACUCACAGGUCAAAACACACUGGCAUGUGCAUUCUUGCAAGGUAUUAAAUUAAUCAAUUAAAU